Long non-coding RNA from Puntigrus tetrazona (Sumatra barb), 938 nucleotides. RefSeq lists it as uncharacterized. NCBI's taxonomy places the organism in Eukaryota, Metazoa, Chordata, Actinopteri, Cypriniformes, Cyprinidae. The transcript has 3 exons. The record is from RefSeq and is a predicted model, not a curated record.
UACCAGCUUGAACAAACCAGUUUAUACCAGCAUGGAAAUAAACGCUUAACUCAGCAGGGUAGUCUCUUGCUUUCUAGAUGCUAUUAAAUGCCAAUCUAAGUCGAAUGAGCUCUCGAUAGCGUGAAUGUGUCCAGCUGUCUUGAUGAGAAUAAUUAAUGUUUAGUUUAACUAAAGGGUGCGAGCAGGGAGUGUCACUCAGACAAGUGUAUGGUGGGCAAACACAGGAAGAGGGUGGAGAGAAGGCCGGGCACUGAUAAGAGUAGUACACCCUCUUCAUUUCCUUUCGCCCGCUUGUGCCCUCCACCCUCAGGGGUGUGGAAAAUAUGACAAGUUUCUGAACUCAGGCCAGAGUUUCAGUCCAGGAAUCAAUCAAAUCUCAAUGACCCCGAUCCCCGCACACACUGGAUGACACUCUAUUUGUGGAACUGGGUGUACAUCUACCAAAGCAAAAUACCUCCAGAGAACACAGACAUGUAAACAUAGCAGGAAUUAAAGCCAGGCUAACACCAGCAUCCCAUGGGGUUUCCAUAAUGUUGUUGUUAUGGCCAUGCGUUAUAACUGUACUGGAUGGAAGUCCAGGAGGAGGGGACAGGAAGCAGACCAAAGGCAAGCGACUCUCCUGAGCCACAUGGGGUUAAUGGUUAUUCCUUUCAAAUGACAGAUGAGUGGACAGCAGGAUAGGAUGAUCCCAUUCAUAUUGAUGAGGCCUGGGUAUGCUGACUUAAAGAAAAGGGCAGCGAAGGAGAAAUGAAGGAGACAGGAAGACCAUCUGAUCCACUUCCUUCCCACAGGACGUUCAAUUUUCGGCAUCCGGAUCACCUGAUUAUCUCGAAACGCACAGGCUGCUACGCCGGCUGCCUUCGCCAUGGUUACCGGAGGAGCAGAAUGCGUCUGAAACGCAGAGCUUUUCCCACACCGCGCAUAUGUGAAGGUCUGAG